This 184-nucleotide non-coding RNA is filed under the name unclassified sequences. Its description in RNAcentral is "malK-I RNA". It matches the Rfam family "malK-I RNA". The record is from RNAcentral.
UUCCACGGCGCCGGCCACUCCACAACCAUGGCCGGCUGACCGUGAAAAAAGGAGGAGAAGGACAGGGCCCGGGGCUCGGGCUGCGGCAGUGUGGAGACCUGUCGCAAGGCGGCGCAGUCAAAUGAGGCUGGCCGUGAGCACACAGCAAGCGGAGGCUCUGUGUGCGGAGCCGGAAAACAUGGCA